Long non-coding RNA from Passer domesticus (house sparrow), 1799 nucleotides. RefSeq lists it as uncharacterized. The record is from RefSeq and is a predicted model, not a curated record. Lineage: Eukaryota; Metazoa; Chordata; Aves; Passeriformes; Passeridae. The transcript is spliced from 4 exons.
GAAGAGGCUGAGGACUGGGGUGGAGGAGCUGUUAAAUAAAUCAUAGCCACGCUUUGCAUUUUGAGAGGUGUUUCUCAUGUCUGGCUCACAGAGUGUCUCAGGAACUGAGGGAGAUCUCAUUGCUCCUCCUAAAAAAUGGCAGAAAGGAGACCUGGGGAGAUCAAGCAGCUUCUUCCAGCCUCAAAUAGCUGCACCCUGUUGCUAGGCUACCUGGCUGCCUUCCACACAUCCCAGAGCUGCUGGAAACCUCACAGCAAAUUGCAGCUCACAUGCCAGAAGAGAGCUGGAAACAGCUUCAGAGAAUGCACAGGAGCACCAGCAACCCCGUGAAGGGCUGGCAAGUGUGGGAUAAAAACCUCCUGGCAUUUGCACAGCCACGAGAUCUUUCCAUGUGGCCUGGGUUUGGAUGAUCUCAGCAGGGAGAAGGCAAGAAAAUGGGGUGGAAAAGGGAAAAAGAGCUGCAGAGGAAUGAUUGCCAUCCCCCCAUGGAGCACAAGAUUUCAGUCCCUUGUCCUGAGCCACCUGUGUCACCAGGGGGUUCCUGCACAUGGGGAACCCAGCAGGUGCAAGAGGAAAUCCAUGAGCAGCACUUUUCCUGUCCCAGGGGCCUUGCCCACACCUCUGCUAACUCACAGCAUCGUGCUUUCCCCUCUGCUUUUCUUCCACAGGAGCUGGAACUGGCAGAGCUUGGCUGAGGAAAACCACGCCUGGAUCCCACCAUGGGCCAGGUCCCUUUGACUUCGAAAGACCCAGUGAACAAAUCACCUCAUUGCUUAUAUAAAUACAUAAAUCACCUCAUUUCUUCUGUGUUGCUGCCAGGAUUGAGGGUUUCUAUACAGACCAGCAACAAACUGCAAGAAAAUGGAGUUGCUUUAUGGUUUUCUCUGUCCCUUUUCUUCCCAUAAAAUGUGCUGCAGUCAUAUGAGCAAUUUAUUUCCUGAGUGAUUGAAGAACAAAAACAAUUACAAACUGUACCAUUUUCUUUUUUUUCCCCUCUGAGCUUUCUCCUUUUCACUUACUGCUCAAACUUCCUUCCCAUCUUUCCUUUCCCUUCCCUCUUCUGCAAGACCCAAAUAAUUAGGGACAGGACACAAAACCUAACCAGAGUAGCAGAAGUCUUCUGGGCUAUGCAGGAUCAGGUACUGAGCCACAGCAUGCUGGUGAAAUUUAAAUAAAAAUGGGGAAAGGAAGGCAGAAAAGAAAGAAAAACAUAUUUCUGGUGCUUCUGAGAUCAAAGGAGCAACCCUUGAAAUUUGCUGGUUGGGAACUUGUGAGGAGGGAGGCUGUUAAACCAUUCCUGACUUCUGUGGCUGUUUUAUCAGCAGGGAGACAGUGACAUUGUUUGAACUAGAUACUGACUUUUUCCCCACAGAGCUUGUGUGAUGAUAUCUGAGCGUGUUCCCCGAGGCUCAGGCUUUGCUGGGAGAGAUCAGGAGCAGGGGAGAUGCUUCCACUUCAAACAGGUUCCACUGAGGCAGCCCAGGAAUGGGAGCUCCCUGCACUGCCCAGGGCCACAGCCCUUUGCACCUCACAAUUCUCACACCUUUUUCUCUCUUUUUUCCUCCCCACCUUCUCCAGGCCUUGGCUUCCCUGCAGAAUUCAACCCUCCCUCCUUCCCAGGGUUUUUCCUCCUCAGCACCAAAACCAUUUUGUAGGAAGGCUUUCAAAAGAACAUUUUUGUUUAGUGUUUGUUCCUCUGCACGUGAACACUGAGAAAGCAGGAAGGGGUUGAUGCAGUCAGAUAUUGAGGGCAGGAUUUGAGGAAAAGCAGCCCUGGAUCUGAAGCACCUCCCUGAGCA